GUCCGCACUCACCGCUCCGGGCCCCGCGCCUCGCAGCUCCAGUCGGAAACGCCCGGGUCUUUCGGGAUCCGCGCUCAGCUGCAGCCUCCGCAGCUGCGCCUCUGCGUUGGGCCCGGCGCCCAGCGGUCUCACCGCGGCGUGCACAGCCAGGAGCACUGCGGCUGAGCCCGGGUCUGCGGCCACCGCCCCGCCCGCCGGCGGCGCCAUCUCCUGUCCCGGCGGGUCAAGGUCUUCCGAGCCGACUUCCGUGAGAUCGCGCUGCGGAGCGCCUCCGCCGGCCAGAAACUCAAAUCGUGAGCCUGGGUUCCGGGGGCGGCAGAUCGUCAGGGCCCAGGAGGGAUGCAGGGCAGCGCUGCUGCGGAGCCUGAUCGGCCUGCCGUGCCGAGGGAUGGACACGGCCCGAGGGCCUCCGGACACCUCCGGCCGCGGGCGUCACGUUUGAGCCGGGUCUCGGGGCCAAAGUGUCAGGCUUUUGAAGCGCGGCCUGGGGCGGGCUUUUGGCCUCAAAAGCUCGGGUGAGGGUAGGCUACAGCCUGUCCCGAAACGUUCUUCAGAGACAGGAUGGAGAAGGGAGGCAAGUCCGCGGCACUUCCCAGUAGCCCGGGUCAGCGGACCACCGCCCCGAGUAACCUCAGCCCCGCCACGCCCACACUGCGCGCUCCGCGGGCCCGCGCCGCUCAAGGAACCAGGGCGGACCCCUGGGGCGGGGCAGGCGGGCUCCUGACCAAUGAGCGCCGGGGAGGAGGUGGGUUAGUACGAGGGACGGUGACAGACAGGCCCCACGGCCAGCAGGAGUGGAAAUCAGGACUGAGCGGCAGGGACCGCCCCCAAUGGCUAGUUGCGCUCCCGAUCUCCGAAGCUGGAGCGGGCCACUCAGAGGCGUGGGGCCGGGCCUGGCGGACGCUUGUUGUUGUCCGGAGGCGGAGGUCGCAGGUUCGCUCGCUCGCUGGGUCGAUCUGUGGCGGUCGACAGCAGGUCGGUCGCGAGAGCGGGCGCUGUGCAGGGGGGCGAGGCUAUGUCGCGGUGGCAACCCGGAUGGGCCGGCAGGGCCGGGAGUAACGGGACGUCGCCGCGGAGCUUCUCCCAGAUACAGUGCGACCCGAGUGGAGGCCGCGGCGCCGCUUUCCGCCCCUGAGGAGGCCGCACCGCGCGGAGUCCGCCUUGCUUUCGCCCCGGUACCGACGCAAAGCGACCAGACCGGUCCGGCCCGAUCUGCCAGGCCCAUACAGGUGGGUGUCUGUCCUGUGCCCCGUGCCGUCCGGGGCCGCCGGAACCACAGCUCCCGGCGGGCCUGGCGCGGGCGCGCUGCCUCCUGGGACUUGUAGUUCCGCCACGGCUUGGCAGAUGCCCCGCACCCGACGCGCUGCCUCCUGGGACUUGUAGUUCUGCCGCGGCCUGGCAGGUUCCCCCUCGCGCGACCAGGCGAACGAUGCAGCUUGCUGGUUAGGCAGUAGCAACUCGCUCCGCUCCUUGUUACCGGAAGAGAUCAGGCGUACUUGCAGAGCAUAACGGUGGAGCCUAUAGGUUUCCUCUCCUUGCCAAAAAGCAGACACUAGAAUAGGGGCAGAGCCCCAGGAUGGAGGGGAGCCCAGCCCAGCCUGAAGACUACUACAGGAGUCAUACCCCUUCGCAGGCUAAAGUGAUCCUCGUAUUCGUUGGGCACUCUUCCUCUGGAUGGGAAAGGGAAGCCUUGAAUACCGUAUUCGUUUAGCCCCAGGGUGAGCAGGAUGGGGUAGGUCCCCCAGCCUGGCCCCAGAAGCCUGUGUUAUACAGGGGGGUGUGGCUGAGCUGGAUCUUGGACUUGCUGCUUUGGUAUGACAGGAUCUCAUCUCUCAGCCCGUCCUUAGUGUUUGGGAGCAGGUCAGAGGAGAGAGAAGGCCUGUGCAAACCCUGGGCAAAGGCUAGACCCAGUUGUGUACAGAGCUCUGGAGUAGGGGGACUGAAGGUAGAGCCCCAUAUGAGCAGAUACCCAUGACCUGGCUUCCCAUAUCCUUAGGCAGCACUAGCCCUUCUGGAGCAAGGAGUCUUUUCCCCAAGGACAUGAAGCUGUUGGAGAACUCGAGCUUUGAGGCCAUCAACUCACAACUGACAGUAGAGACUGGAGAUGCCCACAUCAUUGGCAGGUGAGGCUGGAAGCUCUGGGGGCCAGCAUCUCAGAGGUCACUGCCCUGGCCCCUGAGUUGAAACUUGAAGCGACAGAAUGCUCCAUGUUCCUGCCUGCAUCCCAUAGGAUUGAGAGCUACUCGUGUAAGAUGGCAGGAGAUGACAAACACAUGUUCAAGCAGUUUUGCCAGGAGGGUCAGCCCCAUGUGCUGGAGGCACUAUCCCCACCCCAGACUUCGGGCCUCAGCCCCAGCAGGUGAGCUGAGAUAGGACCUGCCUCUUUGGGUCUGUGGGAUGGCAGUCUAGGCUGAUGUUUGUCUCUGUGCAGACUGAGCAAAAGCCAGGGUGGUGAAGAUGAGGGUCCUCUCAGUGACAAGUGCAGUCGCAAGACCCUCUUCUAUCUGAUUGCCACACUCAAUGAGUCCUUCAGGCCAGACUAUGACUUCAGCACAGCCCGAAGCCACGAAUUCAGCCGGGAGCCCAGCCUGAGCUGGGUGAGGACUGGGAGGGAGCCCCACCCACAGCCAUUCCCACUGCCUUCCCACUGCCUUCCCCACAUCAGCCUGGGCUCUGCCUUGUUUGGUCCUGGACCCUGCCCUGGACCCCUAUCAGCCCCAGUGUGUCCUGCCCUAGGUGGUGAAUGCAGUCAACUGCAGCCUGUUCUCAGCUGUGCGGGAAGACUUCAAGGCCCUCAAGCCGCAGCUGUGGGACGCAGUGGAUGAGGAGAUCUGUCUAGCUGAAUGUGACAUCUACAGGUGGGCCUGUAUCUUCACAGGUAGACCCCUAGGUAUAUGUGACACGGAGAGUCUCAUACUAUGUCUUGGCCUACUCUGCAGCUAUAACCCAGACCUAGACUCGGACCCCUUUGGGGAAGAUGGCAGCCUCUGGUCUUUCAAUUAUUUCUUCUACAACAAGCGGCUCAAGCGAAUUGUCUUCUUCAGCUGCCGCUCCAUCAGGUUGGUGCUGCCAGUCUCCCUUCCUCCAGUUCCUAUUGGGCCUCACCAUCUCCUCAGGUUGCCCAUCUGUUCUCAACUUUGUGCUGCCUGGACAUCCUCCCUGGGCCAUCAGCAGGCCUGGGGCAGAUGGUCCUAAGAUUGUUUCCCCACUUCCCACCCAGUGGUUCCACUUACACACCCUCAGAAGCAGGCAAUGAGCUGGACAUGGAACUGGGGGAGGAAGAAGUGGAGGAAGAGAGUGGAGGCGGAGGCAGUGAGGGCAGGGCUGAAGAGACCAGCACCAUGGAGGAGGACAGGUAUGUGAUGGUGGUGGUGGUCCCAGUCCUUGGAGCCUCUAGUGCCUGGGCCAGGUCAGGGUCUCUUCUGCCUUGUCUCCUGAGUGGUGGCUCCUCAAACUCAUUGUAUGUCAACCUUUGCCCAGGGUCCCUGUGAUCUGUAUGUGAUGAGGAGAAGCAGAGGCCCCAGCUUCAUCCAGCUUCAACCAGUGCCUGGACCUACCCACCUGAGGGGCCCAGGGCCUCCCCAGCUGCUGGCCAUACCCUGGCACUAUCACUGUCCUGGCGCUGCCCAAGGCCAAAUCUGCCUAGCCCUUUGGCUCCAGCCUGUGGAUGUGCACUCAUCCUCGAAGGCUCCUACUGCCCAUGCUGUGACUGGACUAGACAGCACGGGGCCUGCUGGAAAGAGUGACUGCCCUGCCCAAGCAGACUGCCACAGCAGGGACAGCUGGACCACAGAGUUUAUUUUUGUAUUUCAUACUGGGUCUGUACACUCCUGGCCUGAGACCCAGCAAGCAGGCUCCUGUCUUGAGCCAGUGGCCCCUGGUGCCUACCUGUUCCCCCCACCUCUCCAGGUGGGCUGUGUGCACUGAGUGUCACCUUGCUGCAGCUCAUUUGUUUCCAAUAAAAGUUUCUGUGACUCUGGACCUCAGUGCGUCGUGUGGGCGGGGCCUGCAUUGUGGGCGGGGCCUGCCAUUCAUAUCCUAGCAACCGAUGCUGCCCGACCCGCCAGGAAAACGGUUAGUUUCCCAGAGCUGUUGGUCAUCUGGACACACAGCUGUGAAAAUGGAGGCUAACAUGUUGGACACAAGCAAGCCCUUAUCAUCAGAAGGCGAUAACUUGCUUCUGGACUCAGACCUGUAUGAUGCAGACGGCUUUGACAACCCAGACCCUGGGCUGCUGUCAGAAAAGAAUGGUGAGGGGGAUUGGCCUUACCCCCUAGGCACCCGGCCAGAAACAGAACUCAUUUGGACUAGGUUCUGGGAACACAACUCCUCUGGGCAGUAACUGAUUCAACCGGGCACUUGGAGAAGGGCACUCCAGGGUGGGGCCCAAGGCCACAGGUAACAGCACUCCCUCCAUUGGCCCGCAGAGCUGUGUUCCCUGGAGCAGUCGCAGGGCCUGCAGCUUUUCACCAGCACCCAGCAGUGGCAAAACGUGCCCCUGUGUACCCGCGCCCACCAGCUGUGGCUGCUCAUUCGUACUGGCCUCCAUAAUGUUGUGGAAAAGGUGUGAUUUGGCCCAGCAUCUGCCACUGGUCUCUUCCCAGUCCAGCCCUUCCCCUGGGGGUCCUCUGCACCAGCUCCAUUGGAUCCCUCGAGUUUCCCUCUGCAGAAGAGCCCAGCCCCCACCCCUAACUGCAGAUCCUGCCCACCCUGGCCCGCAGGAAAAGAGAGCUGAGCUGCGCGUUGCUCGCUUGACACAUGGGCUGGAGCCACUGCGCCGCCUGGAGGUGCCAGCUGGGCUGCGAUCCGUGGCACAAGACCCAGUGGGAGGACAUUUCGUGGUGCUGGAUGGGGCAGGUUGCCUGCACCUGCAUAAAAAGGAUGGCUGGGCUCAGGAGACGCUGCUGGCCCCUGUGGCACUUACUGGUCUGGUAGCUGUGCUGGGCCCUCUGGGAGCGGUGGGUCGCUUUGUAGGCUGGGGCCCCACAGUGCUGGCCAUACUAAGGCCAGACCUCAGCCUGCUGUGGUUGAGCCCGCCAGAGGUGGGUAGGGUGCUAGGCCGUGAGCCCACUUGCUGCCUGCCGGUGCCCAACCUGGGGCUGCUGCUUGUGGCUGAGGUGGGCGGCAGCCUGGCUCUCUUCAAGUUCCGCUCAGGUGGUCGCCGCCUGGUGCUGCGUGGCUUACCCCUGCAGCCACCACCAGGCCUGGCCGGCACACUCAAGCGUCUGGCUCUGGGGCCAGGGUCUACCCACCAAGACACACACUGCUUCGCAGCCUACGGCUCAGCUGUGCUCACCUUCGAUCUACAAGCCUGGAAUCUCACAGAUGUGCGCCAAAAUCUGCACAAAACGUGAGGCGGGGCUGGGGACUGGAAGACAAGGUGGUCCCCUAGAGAGAGCUGGUCAUGGCAGGGGUGCAGACUGCAACACACUAGGCAGUGCUGAGUCCACGGGGCCUCCCCAUUCUCUCUAAUCCCCAGCAUCAUCUCUGACCUGGCCUACUUCGAGGAGGCAAAGGCCAUGGUGACGUCUUCCCAAGACAGUACGGUGAAGGUGUGGGAGGUUAACUGGCAGAUCCGCAUGGUGUUCGUGGGUCACACAGGUGCGCUGCUCCCAAGAUGCUCUUGUAGUGUAUUCUCUCUGCACCCGGAGCUCGGCCCUCUGCCUUUGAGCUCUGAGCUGUUGGAGAUUUCUGCUGGGUCUGACCAAGAUUCUCUGCGUUGGCUGCAUCCCGGGCCAACAGCUCCCUUCCCUCAUUCCCUGGUGUGCCUGAGAUGUGCGCUCCCGCAGGCCCGGUGACAGCAAUGGUCAUUCUCCCGAACACCACCCGAGUGUCUUCCGCCUCUCAGGAUGGAACGUUGCGCACGUGGGACCUGCAGGCGGCGGCGCAGGUGGGAGAGGUGGCGCUGUGCUCCUGGGGCCAGGACUUGCUGUCCGCGCGCGUGAGCCGUUUGCUGGCACCUGCGGCCCGGGGCUGGCCGGUGCUCUCUCUGUGCGCGAGCAGCGUGGAGCUUUGGCGCCUGAGCGAGCUCUACUCGCCGUUGGCGCAGCUGCCCGCGCCCGUGCUCUACCUCCAGGUGGCGCCUGCGCUACCAGCGCCCGUGAACCCAUCUCUGCCCGCGCGCCUCGUAUGCGCUUGUGUGGAUGGCUCCGUCUACCUGGUGUCAGCUGCAACAGGGAGAACAGUGAGCGCACUGCUGCUCGAGGCCGAGGACUGCGCGGUUGCGGUGGCCUACUGCCUUCCGCGCGAGGCCCUGUGGCUGCUGACGCGCACAGGACACCUGGUGCGCGCCAACGCAGCAUGCUGCCCCAUGAGCGUGCUGCAUCGUGUGUGCCCGCCACCGCCCCCGGCGCCACAGCCCUGUUGCUUGCACUUGUACAGCCACCUCACAGACCCCGGUAGCGCGUUAGUCUGCUGGGAGAUCGUGCGCCAGAACAAGGGCGAUCUGCGCCGCAGCGCCAUGGCCUGGGCUUGGAAGAACAAGAACCGGUGGGCGCCGGAGCCAGCGAGAUCCAGACGGGAGGGGAGCGGUGACUGAGCUCAUACCAACAGGCUCCGUCACCACCCGCAGGUACCUGCCAGUGAUAGGGCAUACAGACGGCGCACUCUCGGUGCUUGAUUGGCUCUCCUCGAAAACUGUGUUCCAUACAGAGGCGCACAGCCCAGGCCCUGUUACCGCCAUUGCGUCCACCUGGAACAGCAUCGUUUCUUCGGGUUAGUACCUCCACUUCCUGAAGCCGGCUCGGGAGCCCCUGCCUUUCCGGGCAGCUCAGCCUUGCUCCCGCUGUCCCACAGGUGGAGAUCUGACCGUGAAGAUGUGGCGUGUCUUCCCCUAUGCAGAGGAGAGCCUGAGCCUGCUGCGCACCUUCUCCUGCUGCCACCCAGUUGUGGUGCUUUGUGCUCUGGGUAAACGCAUCACUGUAGGCUUUGAGGACCCAAAUAGUGCCACCUAUGGCCUGGUGCAGUUUGGCUUGGGUGAGGGCCGGCGCUGUGACCACCGGCCCCAGGAUGAUCCCAUGGACCACAUCACUGGUGAGGGGACAGAACAAAAAGGCAAAGCCUGGGCCUCCAUGUUAGUCUGGUCCUGACCUAACCUUGUCUCCAGGCUUGUGCUGCUGCCCCACACUCAAGCUGUAUGCCUGCUCCAGCCUGGACUGCACCAUCCGCAUCUGGACCUCUGAGAACCGCCUUCUGCGGUGGGCUGGGGCCCUGGGGAGGGGAUUGGGGCCUGGGGUAUAGCCACUGGGCUCUCCAAACCUCUGCCUCCCACCACAGCCCAAUGGCUAGGGAGUGGAAUGACACAGGGCCUUGCCCCUGAUACUGCCUCAGUUUCCCUCUCUGAAGCAGGAGUGGUCCUCUGGGUACCCCUGCAGGCUCCUGCAGCUGGACGGUUCCCCUCAGGCCCUGGCCUUCUCCAGCAACAGUGGAGACCUGGUGCUGGCACUGGGUUCCCGUCUCUGCCUAGUCUCCCACAGGCUCUAUCUGCCCACAGCCUACCUAGUUAAGGUAUGCAGUGAGGUCAGGAUGGGCAAAGUGGGGCUGCUGCGUGAGGACAGGCCCUGAGGAUCAGGGAUCCAAGCUUCUCUUGCUUGCCCAGAACCUGUGCCAGAAGGCUCCUGACGUGGUGGAUGACCCUCCAUUGCCACUGACCAGCCACGAGUCACUGACCUCCAUCCAGAUGCAAAGGCUCACCAACCUGCAUGGGGCAUUCAGUCUCAAGUCUUCUGGCAGGUCUCAGCUGUCCUUGAGACUCCCAUUUAGCCCCUGGGGUCAGGGCCUGACUGUGUGCCCCCUGCAUGAGGACUCAGGACUCCUGGACUGCUCAGAGGCUGCCACAUCCGUCCCAGCCCUGCCAUUCCCUCUCCUGGCUGGUCCUUGUCCUGCUUUCUGCCCUGUCCUCCUGGACUGUAUCGCACCUGUGCUUUUCCCUUUCUGCAGCCCAGCCCUGCUCUCCACCCGUCGCCAGACAGCAACACCCCAGCAGCUAGUGAUGAAGGAGGUGGGGUGGAUACUGACCUUCUUGCCACCCCACUGCCUAGCCCUGUCCCUGCUCAGGCUCAGGCCAUUGCCCCUUGGUCCCUACGGCUGGCUUGGACACCUGUGGUUAUGUGGGCAGCACAUGGCUUCCAAGGAAGCAAACCUGACCUCUGACCCCCACCUCUCAGGACUUGGAGGCCAUAAUGGCCCGUGACCAAGACCUUCAGGAGUUGAGGCUGGGACAGGUCAUCCCAGCAGCCCGGCCCCCACCCUCCUGGAAGCAGCGCCAGGAAGCCUUUGACAAUUACCUACGUUUGAUCUAUGGCCCUGGACUAUUGGUGGGUGUGAGGCCAUCCUCCAGCCUCUGCCCUGACCCUGGCAAAUCCUCUCACCCCAGACCUGACACUGCCACUGUUCCCACCUGUCUCAGGACAUGCAGUUCAAAAGGGAGCCCCAGCAGGGGAGCAUCAUGACCCUCACCACAGAAAGAGAGCUCCAAGACAAGACAUGUGUACCCUGUCCAGAACUGCCUCCUGCUUUGGGCAGGCUACCAUCAGCAGUGAGGCCCAGACAGUACCCAAAGCCCUUCUCCACCCCCAGACCCCAGGGGCCCCAGGCCAGCGUUUUGCCCCCCCCCCCAAGUGAUCUUGCCCAUUCCACCCACCACCAGAAGGUCCACAGCAAAGUGUCCAAGGUGGAGCCUGCCUCCCCUCCCACCCCCUUCCUGACAUCAUGGCUGAAUCCCCCUGACUCCUUGGCUGCCUCAGCUUCUUGCCUGCUCUUCCCUGAGCUGUGACUUGGGCCUCAGUCUGGAUCUGCAGAUGCAGUUGGAGCAGCUCAGAGAGGAGAUGACCAUGGCCUUGGACCCACCGUCCUCCCUCCCACAGCACAGGUGAGGUAAACUUAGCAGCUGGGAUGCCACCUACUCAAGAGCAGUACUUGAGGGGCUCUAGGGGCUGUGCUCAACUCUUGAGUCUCUGUCCCAUCUCCAGGUCCCACUUUGGCUGCAGAAACAGCCCAAGGAUCCUCUCUCAAAUCUCAAGGGCUUCUUUCCUGCCACUGUGCAGUCCCACAAGGUGAGGCUUUCUGGGUUCCCAGAGAGGCACCCCCCCUAGGGUUACUCUUCUUGUGUACCCUAUCUCCCCUUUGCUGCAAACCUCUUGUGUCCAAAUUGGAUCUAAGGGCCAUGGCUGCCUGUAGCUCAGAGGCCAGCUCCAGAGUCCCCCGCCCUGCCCGCCCCCGCCUCCUUUCCUGGAGUUAUGGUGUGGUGGUGUCUGUGGGCAGGAGCACCUUGUUGCCUACGAGGCCUGAGUCUGAGCCAGAGAUCCCCUGCCAUUGAAUCUCCGGCACACCCCUCUCCUCAGUGGGAACACUCUGUAGGUGGGUCACCAGUGGGCUUAUCCUGCAAGACCAGAGUCCCCACCUUUCAGGGAAGCAAAGUCAAGGGGAGCUAGCCCUUCAAGAUCCCAUACUUGGGCUGGGGUUGUGGCUCAGUGGCAGAGUGCUUGCCUAGCAUGGGUGAGGCACUGGGUUCGAUCCUCAGCACCACAUAAAAAACAAAAUGAAAAAUAAAGGUUAAAUUCUUUUUUUUUCUCAAAAAUUUGUUUUGUAUUUUUGUCAAUGGGCCUUAAUUCUAUUUAUUUAUAUGCAAUGCUGAGAUUUGAACCCAGGGCCUCACACAUGCCAGGCAAAUGCUCUACUACCGAGCCACAACUCCAACCCCAAAGUUAAAUUAUUUUUUUUUCUUUUUUUCUUGUAUGUGGUGCUGAGGAUCGAACUCAGUACCUCACAUGUGCAAGGCAAGUGCUCUGCCACUGAGCCACAGCCCCAGCUCUCAAGGUUAAAUUCUUAAAAAAAUAAAAUAAAAUCCCACCCUUGCUCCCAGUGGGUGCCCAGGCAGGCCCAGCCCCUUGCUUAGCACAUGCUGGCUCCCAUCUAGGCAUGCCAUUUUGUCCUUCCAGCUUUGUAGCAUAUUGACUCAAGUUCUCCACUGAACUCUCUCUAGUUACUUCCUUUCUGUCCUGCCCCCUACCCCCAGGCUUCCCUGUUUCAGGGUUUGAGACCAAGUGCCAAGAAGAACGUGUGGGGGUUGGGGCUUUCCAAAGGCCUUCUGUCCCCCAGAUUUCCCUCAUCUUCCAGUUAAUGUCCAUGGACCACUCCUCCUUCGGCACCCCAGACUUUCCCCUCACCUGUAUGUUAAGAGCAUGGGCUGCCUGUCCAGUCUGAUGGAGGCCUGGCAGGCAGAACUGGGCCCAUGUCUUGGGACUCUACAUGAUCAUGGGUGUGACCCAGGGUGGUAUCCCAGUUGGGGUGGCUUCAAGUUCUCAGCCACCCUGCUGUGCUCUGCCUCCAGUACUGCCCACGACCCAUUAGUUUCCCUGGCUGUGUGCCCAACUCCGUGGUGCUUCAGCAGAUGUGGCCGUCCACAGAGAUCAGCUAUCUUAGACCUCUGACCACGCUCACCUCCUAUACUGAGAACAGACUCAAGGCAAGAGGCAGAGCUGGGGGGCUCAGGGAGGGCUCCACUGUCCCCACCGUCUGCCAGAUGCCCCCUCUUGUGCCCUCUCCUCUAUAGCCAGAUGCAAGCCUGGAUGACCUAUGGCUACAGCGCCACAGGUGGUCCAAGUGGCACAGUAGGCUGAUGCAGUGGCUUCAUGGGAAGUCUGAGGAGGAAGAGGAAGAAGAGGAGGAGGAGGAGAAGGAACUGAAAAUAGACUGGAUCUCAGCUUCUCUGAGUUCACCCAGGAUGUAUUCUGACCAACAGUUAGAUUACUGGGAGGCAGAGGCUGGGGUAUGCAUCCCAGGCUGCCACAGGCAGGGUGGGCUCAGUGCCCAAAACCCAGAGAAGUGGGACUGAAGUUGCUGUCACUUCCCCUAGAGCGCCAUGGACUUGAUUGGCGAGUCCCAGAGCUUCCAUGAGGCCCCCAGGACCAAAAUCUACUUUGGCUCCCAGUACCACCAGGGGCAUUCACUCUGGGAAGAGCGCUAUGGGCAUCUGCCCAGGUUCCUGCACUCUUUCGUCAUCCAGAACUGGUUCAAAAAGCUGUUCCCCAUCUUCACCCUGGAGGUGUGGGGGGGCCUGGGAAGCUGGGAAACGUGGCCUGGGAUGGGGUGUGGGGAGAAAGCAGGAGCCUGCCUGAAUGUGAAACAGGGAGCAGGGUCUCAGCCUACCGUUCUGUAGGCCUACCCUGAGAUGGGCACAGUGGAGGGCCUGGCCUCCAUGUUGGUGGACCUGCUGGCAGAGGCCAUCUGGGAAGACCGUGUGCAUAUCCUAAAUGCACUGCUGAGACUGCUGCCUGAUGUGAGCAGUGACCUCCACAGUCGGCUGCAGAGCAACCUCUUGCACUUGCUCAACUUGGACAACCCCCCCAGCCUCCAGGUGGGUUCCUUGACACCCUCCACCCCCACCGUGUUUCUCCCACCAACCAUUGUCCCCACCUGUGCACAGGACCACAUUCAGAAGCAGUUUGUGAUGCUGGCACUGCAGCUGCUGCUGGCCUGCUCCCUGGAUUCCCG
Molecule: long non-coding RNA, 11493 nt
Filed under: Marmota monax (woodchuck)
Lineage: Eukaryota; Metazoa; Chordata; Mammalia; Rodentia; Sciuridae
Source: RNAcentral